RNAcentral lists this long non-coding RNA (200 nucleotides) under Lathyrus oleraceus (garden pea). RNAcentral describes it as "Pisum sativum (pea) long non-coding RNA (PSAT_LNC006433)". Lineage: Eukaryota; Viridiplantae; Streptophyta; Magnoliopsida; Fabales; Fabaceae. The record is from RNAcentral.
UCUUAAGUAAAGAGGUUUCUGAAAUUUUCUGCAAUUUCUUAAGUCCAAGUUAGAUAAUUUUGUUUAUAAAAAAAAUGUUGCAGAAUGCUUAAGGUUUUAGACAAUAUUUUCAUCAGAGCUAAUAAUUAUUUCUCCCCCUUUUUGUCAGAAUCAAAAAGACAUAGUAAAAAGAAUAAGUAAAGAGAAAAUAAAUAAAGAGA